Molecule: transfer-messenger RNA, 350 nt
Filed under: Eubacterium sp.
Lineage: Bacteria; Bacillati; Bacillota; Clostridia; Eubacteriales; Eubacteriaceae
Rfam family: transfer-messenger RNA
About the family: Bacterial tmRNA, also known as 10Sa RNA or SsrA, is named for its dual tRNA and mRNA-like properties. Its role is to liberate the mRNA from a stalled ribosome.
Source: RNAcentral
GGGGCCGCAAUGGUUUCGACGGGGAUUUUGAAUCACGCUAAGCAUGCAGAGCCAGUCCCGACUCUUUAAUCCGGGGCAUUUUAAAUUUAAACGCUAAUAAUAGAACAGCAGCUGUAGCUGCCUAAGCGCGCUACCGUCCGUUCUGAGAGAGCUGCGGCUCAGCAUGGGCGUCAAUAAGCAGCCAACGUUUUGUGUGAUAGCCUUGUAGCGCAAAACGUAUCCAAAGGGCUACCAAUCGGUGGUUUUGUCGGAUUGUGCCGUCGUGCGGGAAAUCUUUCAACCGACUAAGCAUGUAGAAAGGUGUGUGGAAGGAUUUUCGGACAGGAGUUCGAUUCUCCUCGGCUCCACCA